AAAAUGUGUUCUUUAGCUCUUUUGUAAUUAAAUCUGGAUGUACCUCAAAAGACUCUUAAGACUGUGGUGAUAAGAGGCUUUUCUC
This is an unclassified non-coding RNA of Chinchilla lanigera (long-tailed chinchilla), 85 nucleotides long. The record is from Ensembl. Lineage: Eukaryota; Metazoa; Chordata; Mammalia; Rodentia; Chinchillidae.